GUCCACGGCCAUGCCACCCUGAACAAGCCCGAUCCCGUCUGAUCUCGGAAACUAAGCAGGGUCAGGCCUGGUUAGUACUUGGAUGAAAAAUCAUCUAGGAAGACCAGGUGCUGUAGGUG
This 119-nucleotide ribosomal RNA is filed under the name Pteropus alecto (black flying fox). Lineage: Eukaryota; Metazoa; Chordata; Mammalia; Chiroptera; Pteropodidae. The record is from RNAcentral.